RNAcentral lists this long non-coding RNA (373 nucleotides) under Mus pahari (shrew mouse). Its description in RNAcentral is "lncRNA (MGP_PahariEiJ_G0032979.1)". Lineage: Eukaryota; Metazoa; Chordata; Mammalia; Rodentia; Muridae. The record is from RNAcentral.
UCAGAUCCUCUGAAUCUGGAGUUCUGGGUAGCUGUGAGCAUCUAAAUCCAGGCUGCUGCAAGUGUAUUGCAGGAAGUGCUGUUAGCUGUUGAGCUCUCUAGCCUCCAGUUUGUUUUAGACAUUGGGGUGGGAGUGCUUUUUGUUUGCUUGCUUGCUUCCCCCCCCCCCCGGGUUUUUGUGUUAUGGAUGUUGGCGGGGGAGUUUUGGGGGUUUUGUUUGGUUGGGUUUUUUUCGUUUGCAGGUUUGUUUUUGAGACAGAUUCUUGCUAUGUAGCUCAAACUGGCCUUGACUUGAGCAUCCUCCUGCCUUAGCCUCCCAGAGGUUGGGACUAUUAUAGACACAAUCUUAUUCGUGUAUAUUAACUUUAUAAAAC